RNAcentral lists this ribosomal RNA (446 nucleotides) under uncultured bacterium. Its description in RNAcentral is "partial 16S ribosomal RNA". It matches the Rfam family "Bacterial small subunit ribosomal RNA", at positions 338 to 795 of the family's 1533-position model. The record is from RNAcentral.
CCUACGGGUGACAGCAGUCGAGAAUCAUUCACAAUGUGGGAAACCCUGCUGGUGCGACGCCGCGUGGGGGAAUGAAGGUCUUCGGAUUGUAAACCCCUGUCAUGUGGGAGCAAAUUAAAAAGAUAGUACCACACGAGGAAGAGACGGCUAACUCUGUGCCAGCAGCCGCGGUAAUACAGAGGUCUCAAGCGUUGUUCGGAAUCACUGGGCGUAAAGCGUGCUUAGGCUGUUUCGUAAGUCGUGUGUGAAAGGCGCGGGCUCAACCCGCGGACGGCACAUGAUACUGCGAGACUAGAGUAAUGGAGGGGGAACCGGAAUGCUCGGUGUAGCAGUGAAAUGCGUAGAUAUCGAGAGGAACACUCGUGGCGAAGGCGGGUUCCUGGACAUUAACUGACGCUGAGGCACGAAGGCCAGGGGAGCGAAAGGGAUUAGAUACCCCUGUAGUC